Molecule: long non-coding RNA, 801 nt
Filed under: Anas platyrhynchos platyrhynchos (common mallard)
Lineage: Eukaryota; Metazoa; Chordata; Aves; Anseriformes; Anatidae
Description: lncRNA (ENSAPLG00000018417.1)
Source: RNAcentral
AAAGUUUGUUUGGAUUAAAAAACAUAUUUUUUUGCAUAUGUUGUUGUUUUAAAACUAUUUAUUGAAAAGUUAUGUUAGCACUACAGUUUUAUUUAUCUGUUCUUAUUUAUCCAUUCUCUUUUUCUGAUUUAUCUUUUUUUUAUUAUUAUUCUGAUCCUGUUUGAUUUGGUAACACAGAACAACAUCUUCACAAUGGUUGGAUAGAAAGGAGGGAGAACCAAGAUAUUUUGAAAUGAACACAGAAGUUUCACACCUCAGCAAAGUGGGGAAUUGUACUGGUCUUGGCUGGGACAGAGUUAAUUUUCAUCAUAGUUGUCUGUAUGGCGCCAUGAUUUGACAGCAGUUUUUGGCCAGUUUUCUUACUUUUACCCUUCUGAUUCUCUUCUUCCAGGGUUAACUCAGAGCUUGUAAUUACAAAGUAAUUUUUAUAAGUGCUCAAAGGCAAGCAAAAGCAGCAAUGGUUAUCCACUUCACAGAAUUCUCUGCAUAAAGAAAGACAGCAGAGAAACACAAUGCUUUUGUUUAUUUGUUUCAAGAUAUUUGAACAGUGUUUUUCAACGUUCUCUGCGGAUCUAUUGGAUGAAGAAAAAGACUUGAGCGAAGUAUCAUUUUUUAAGACACUUAAGCCUAUAUCAGUCGCUGGGGUUCACCACAACUGGAACCCAGGACACAUCUGUUCUCUGCACCAUGUCCUUGUAGUGCAAUUUGAUGCGCAGAUUUUUAAGUGUCAGAAGUAUAAGGAACAAAGAUAUUUUAAAAAGAAGAAAAGAAAAAAAAGGGAAGGGAAGGCAAGACAAGUCA